GACGAACGCUGGCGGCGUGCUUAACACAUGCAAGUCGAGCGGUAAGGCCCUUCGGGGUACACGAGCGGCGAACGGGUGAGUAACACGUGGGUGACCUGCCCCCUACUCUGGGAUAAGCCUGGGAAACUGGGUCUAAUACCGGAUAUGACUACUUGUUGCAUGACGGGUGGUGGAAAGUGGUGUUCUUGAUUGGACACUGUCGGUGGGGGAUGGGCCCGCGGCCUAUCAGCUUGUUGGUGGGGUGAUGGCCUACCAAGGCGACGACGGGUAGCCGGCCUGAGAGGGCGACCGGCCACACUGGGACUGAGACACGGCCCAGACUCCUACGGGAGGCAGCAGUGGGGAAUAUUGCGCAAUGGGCGGAAGCCUGACGCAGCGACGCCGCGUGGGGGAUGACGGCCUUCGGGUUGUAAACCUCUUUCGGCCCCGACGAAGCGUGAGUGACGGUAGGGGUAGAAGAAGCACCGGCCAACUACGUGCCAGCAGCCGCCGUAAAAC
This 498-nucleotide ribosomal RNA is filed under the name uncultured bacterium. RNAcentral's name for it is "bacterial SSU rRNA". It matches the Rfam family "Bacterial small subunit ribosomal RNA", at positions 28 to 526 of the family's 1533-position model. The record is from RNAcentral.